GUAAUCACACUUUUUUUUUUUUUUUGGUGCCGGAGACCAAAUCCAGAGCCUUACAGACACUAGGCAAGUGUUCUACUACUCUGCCAUAUGCCCAGGCCAGCAAUUAAAUACACCACCAUCCACCUGAAACCAGUUCCAUUUCCUGAUGUCUAUACUGGUGUCCACGACCAACCCCAGCUGUCUACCAGCCACACCCUCAGCUUAGGAACUGUUUGAGGCCUUAUUCUUAUUCCAUUGCACAUAAUGCAGCAUUUUCUCAGUUCCCACCUCAGCCCAGCCUUCAUUAGUCUCCUUGUUAACAAAUUUGUACCCAGUGCCUCCUACGUGCCAGGCGCUCUGCCAGAUGCUGGAAUGCGCUAACAAGACAGACUCGGGUGUGGCCUCAGUCCAGAGGGAAGCCAGCUAGUUACACAAGCAGCCACAAGGCAGGGGAAGGAACCCUGAGGAUGCAGAAAGUCCAGGGCGUCGUGGAAGCCCCUGGGCUCAGGAAGCUGGGAGUCUCUGAGGAAGCCAGGAUCAAGGUGACGACUAGGAGACUGAAAGUUAAGCCUUCACCAGCGGUUCCAGUGGGGCAGGAAGCUCCUUUUGAUCCUCUAUUCCUGGGCUGUGGGCACUACAUGUGCUAAGUAACAGUGGAGCUGCCCCAAUCUGCAGCCUUAUUCCUUGACUGAGGAAAGGAUGUGACCUCACAGUACCUCCCGAUGCUCAAGGAGGGCACACAGUUAAGAGUGUGCCUUAAGAAGUCCACUUCCUUAAGUAAGGACAAGUGUCAAUUUUUGAACAUUGACCUCUGCCUGGAGCUAAGUGCUCUGGAGAACUGAUCUCAAACUCUCACAUUCAAGAAAUCCAUGUUGACUAUGAAGAAGUAAUAAGAGGACGACUUGAUCCCUCAUCCAAUGAGCUCAUUAUUGUCUGGUGGAGGCUGGAGGAGCCUGUGAGGGCAGGACACUGUGAGGGUGAGCCUGAGACGCAGCAGCAAAGGCAUUGUCACGACGAGGGAACUGGACAGUCCUUGGUCACUGUGUGUGGUAACCUGGGCCUUUAUGAAAACAGAAUUAGCUCCUGUGGGGAGAAGAGGGGAGAGGCGCAGAGGCGCAGCUUGGGCUGAGCUCUGCAGUGAGGAGCGCAGCGCACAGCAGAGACAGGCCUCAGUGUACCUUGUGCUGAGAGCAGGGGUCUGAGAGGGUAGGUGGUGAGAGUAGAAGAGGAAGGAAGUGGCCUGAGCUCAUCCUCCUUUAGAAAUCCACUCCCAUGACAACUAUCCACUCCUGCAAUAAUGGCAUUAAUCCAUUCAGGAGAGUGGCCUAGUCACCUCUUAAAGGUCCUGCCUCUCAAAGCUAUGACAUUUUUGGAUUAAAUCUCUAACAAAUGAACCUUCGGGGACACAUUCGCGUGACAGUUCUGCCUGGAAGAGAGGAAUUUGUUGGAAGCAGCAAUGUGUAGGCUGAGAAGUCAACAUGGAGUGGUUCAUACCAGAUUAUCACUAGUAACCUGGUCACUUGUCCUGAGAUUCUUUCCCUAUUCUUCUUCAUCAGUGAGUUUAUCACAUUGAACUUUCACAAGCCCAGGGUCAAGUCCCAGGCUUGGCCUCUCUUGCUCUCGCAGCUUCUGUGUAGAUGAAGAGUCUGAGGCUCAGAGAGGGUGAAAAAUUGUUCAAGGCAAGAUGCUGCUUGAUGGUGACGCAGUCACCUCACCCAGUGCUGUCUCACAACACCAAAGCUCCGCUGCUCCUGCUCUAUGAGAUCACAGGCAGGAGGAGGCAGAGGUGAUGCCUUCUCGGGCUUGUGAAGGGCUAAAAGCACCCUAGGGACCUGGAGAAGGAGAGGCCAGCAAUGCUGGCAGAGCCUCCAGGAAGAAAGGAGAGCAGAGCAUGCCUUGGAAGAUGGGCAGAGAAACAAUGAAACUGAAGAGGCAGAGAAACAAUGAUGGGGACAGGAGAGGGAACUACACAGGCUCCUGUUGGGAUGAUUCUGGGGUCAAGGGGCAGCCUGGCUGCUCUGGAAGUUCGUGCUGGAAAUUACUGGAUAGUAAAGGUGGAAAUGGUGUGGCUAGGGCCCAAAGGCCAAACUGAUCAUCUGAAUUUUAUAGUCUGGUACGUGGGGGAUUCUGAACACAGAAUAAUGAGGAAAAUCGGCAUUUCAGAAGGGUGCUUGGUCAACUUCAAAUAGUUAUAAUUAAUUUAGUAAGAGCCAGUCAAUAUUAAAGCAGGUGUUCACACAGUAUAAGACACAUAAUUAUUAAGUGAUAAAUCGACAGUAGAUGCUUUGUGAUUUAACUCUAAGAAUGCACAGGACCCUGGUUUUGGAAAACCAGUUCUAAAACUAUCUGAACUUUUUCUUUUAUCCAGCUUCAUUGAAUCAAUCAGGUGUUCCCUAAAAGCCUCCUGUCCUUUCCCAUCUCUGUGGAUUCUGUCCUUGCCUGGACUCCCAGCCAGUCCUCCUGGCCUCUUCUGAGGCCCCCUUCCAGGCCCACUUGAAAGAGCUCUGACGGCCUCCUCCUCAACCAGGAAUGAUCUGUAAUGGCGCUUCCACCAUGAUCCUCACAUAGUCAAACAACAAGGGUACACUGUCACAACAUGCCUCCUCGAUCUUUGUGUCCCCAGGGCCAAGGACAAACUGCCACUGAACCAUAACACUAAAACUUUGCCUAUGGAUAAGGAUUUUUCAUAUGGCUACUUUAAUCUCAAUUUCUAUUAAUGUCCUUGAAACAGGAUCAACUAUUCAAAUGAAAUUUCUGCGAAGUGAAUCCACCUCUUUAUUCCAUGUUGAGGAGAAUCAAUCUCCAAACAGACAUUAAGCUCAACUUUUCCAAUUCAGUAGAAAGAGAUUCAAGAUUGCUAUAUCAAGUCUUACAAUACCUCUAAGCUUCCAGCUUGCCCUAUGGAUUUUGUAUUUGCCAGCCUCCACAAUAACAUGAGCCAAUUCCUUAAAAUAAAUCCAACAGGCUAUGUAUGUUUCUGUUUCUCUGGAGAAUCCUGAAUAAUACAGAAGCCUAAGAGUAAUCAUCCCUACUUUUCCUGGACCCAUCCUUUCCAUUUUCAUCUUACAACUGGACUUCCAAAUAGCCUCUCUUCCCUAUCCUUAGGAUUAUAGCAUUAGGAUUUCCAUCUUCAGCAAACCUCAGAGACCAACAGUGAGAACUCUUACAUAGAACACAGAGAUAUCCAUUUAUAUCUUGAAUAAACUCUAUCCAACAGCAAAAAAAAAAAAAAAAAAA
Ictidomys tridecemlineatus (thirteen-lined ground squirrel) is the source of this 3216-nucleotide long non-coding RNA. RefSeq lists it as uncharacterized. Lineage: Eukaryota; Metazoa; Chordata; Mammalia; Rodentia; Sciuridae. The record is from RefSeq and is a predicted model, not a curated record.